RNAcentral lists this ribosomal RNA (409 nucleotides) under uncultured bacterium. Its description in RNAcentral is "bacterial SSU rRNA". It matches the Rfam family "Bacterial small subunit ribosomal RNA", at positions 354 to 777 of the family's 1533-position model. The record is from RNAcentral.
GUGGGGAAUAUUGGGCAAUGGGGGAAACCCUGACCCAGCAACGCCGCGUGAGGGAAGAAGGUUUUCGGAUUGUAAACCUCUGUCCUCAGGGAAGAAGGAAGUGACGGUACCUGAGGAGGAAGCCCCGGCUAACUACGUGCCAGCAGCCGCGGUAAUACGUAGGGGGCGAGCGUUGUCCGGAAUUACUGGGCGUAAAGGGUGCGUAGGCGGCCUGACAAGUCGGAUGUGAAAUACCCGUGCUUAACAUGGGGGUGUCAUUCGAAACUGUUGGGCUUGAGUGUGGAAGAGGUAAGUGGAAUUCCCGGUGUAGCGGUGAAAUGCGUAGAGAUCGGGAGGAACACCAGUGGCGAAGGCGACUUACUGGGCCACAACUGACGCUGAGGCACGAAAGCGUGGGGAGCAAACAGGA